GUUUCCUUCAUUUUGACCUAUAUGGGUAAAUAGAAAUGGAACUUGAAAUCAAACAUGGCUGGUGCUCGCUGCUUAAAACUGCACACACUCAAUCAGUUCUUUGUGGGCACUCUGGUUUCUUCCUUGUGAAAGUUUCCCAAAGGUGAAGAAUUCAAAAACAUCUUUAUACGAAAGUACUGUUGGAGACAACAAGGAAAUAUACAUGUACUGAACUACCUCCCCAAAUUAUUUGGUCAGAUUUCUUUGAUACUGCACAAGAUUCAUCUGUUAGCUUGCACCACUAGGCUCCCUUAAUUUGGGACUUCUAUGAUAAAAGGUUCUCUCAACAGAUUAGGGUUAGGUUUAUGGUUAGGGUAAGGGCUAGGUUUAAACCUAGUGUUGGGGUUAGAGUCAAUUGUGUUCAUGUAUCUUUGAUGCUGUGCAGGAUUCAUCUUUUACCUAGCCUCACAAUGUUCCCUGGUUUGGGCCUUCUUGUUCAACGGUUUGCUGUAAGGAACGGUUUGUAUUUUAAGGUUUCACUUUAUUUUGAAGUAUUUUGUUGAAGAGAAAUGGAGCACAAAAUCAAA
RNAcentral lists this long non-coding RNA (566 nucleotides) under Marmota monax (woodchuck). The record is from RNAcentral. Lineage: Eukaryota; Metazoa; Chordata; Mammalia; Rodentia; Sciuridae.